CAGAGUAUUACGCUCCGUAAACCCACUGUGAAUUUAUCUAAGUUAUUGUUUCUUUGGCAGGCGGACCCUGGGAGGGACCUUUAAGCCGGCAACGGUGCCUUGCCAAAGGGACGCCAAAUUCUAGCGUUUAAGUUGUCUGAGCUUCUAUAAAAUAAGUUA
Molecule: unclassified non-coding RNA, 159 nt
Filed under: uncultured fungus
Lineage: Eukaryota; Fungi
Description: sequence contains ITS1, 5.8S rRNA gene
Source: RNAcentral